Leopardus geoffroyi (Geoffroy's cat) is the source of this 554-nucleotide long non-coding RNA. RefSeq lists it as uncharacterized. The transcript is spliced from 5 exons. NCBI's taxonomy places the organism in Eukaryota, Metazoa, Chordata, Mammalia, Carnivora, Felidae. The record is from RefSeq and is a predicted model, not a curated record.
GGGAGGGCAGGCGGCGGCUCGAGCCCGUCCCCUCGCCUGCAGGGACAUGCGGCCCGGGACGGCCACCCGCAGGCCCCGCGCUUGCUCCGCGCCGGGAAGGGAGGAGCCGAAAGGGUGCCGGGGGGCACGGGACGCAGCCGGUUCUUCCUGCCGCCCGAGCGGGACCCGGCGCUCACGUCCCCUAACGCUGGAGGCGCCCCGCGCCGGGGAGCUGUCCGCCCCCGGUGGUUCUGAACCAGGCGCGGCAGAAACUCCAGGUGUAUAAUGUAAUGAUUCAACAAUGCUAUGUGCUACUCAAUGCUUAUCUCGACCCCAUGAAGGGACAUUCGUGGUGACCACAGGCAGAGAAGGUAAAGGGGACAUAUUAAUUAUCCUGUGGACGGCGUCUUGUUCAAGAGACUGCAGAAAGCUGGUGGGUGUGUAGCCUGUGGGUUGGACCAAUGUGGUCAAGAAAGUCCUGCAAAUGGGCAGUCAGAGGCUAUGGUGCCUCAGGGCCUGUUGGCAGCACCAGAGGCCAAGCCUUUCAUCAGCUUUCCACGGCUCAGAAAAUAAAG